This 464-nucleotide ribosomal RNA is filed under the name uncultured bacterium. RNAcentral's name for it is "bacterial SSU rRNA". It matches the Rfam family "Bacterial small subunit ribosomal RNA", at positions 330 to 792 of the family's 1533-position model. The record is from RNAcentral.
GCCAGACUCCUACGGGAGGCAGCAGUGAGGAAUAUUGGUCAAUGGGCGGGAGCCUGAACCAGCCAAGUCGCGUGAAGGAAGAAGGUACUUAGUAUUGUAAACUUCUUUUGUCGGGGAACAAAGGCGGAGACGCGUCUCCGGAUGAGUGUACCCGAAGAAAAAGCAUCGGCUAACUCCGUGCCAGCAGCCGCGGUAAUACGGAGGAUGCGAGCGUUAUCCGGAUUUAUUGGGUUUAAAGGGUGCGCAGGCGGGAGAUCAAGUCAGCGGUAAAAUGUCGGGGCUCAACCCCGGCCGGCCGUUGAAACUGGUUUUCUAGAGUUGGAGAGAAGUAUGCGGAAUUCGUGGUGUAGCGGUGAAAUGCAUAGAUAUCAGGAGGAACACCGGCGGCGAAGGCGGCCUGCUGGACCGCGACUGACGUUGAGGCUCGAAAGCGUGGGGAGCGAACAGGAUUAGAUACCCUGGUA